This 440-nucleotide ribosomal RNA is filed under the name uncultured bacterium. RNAcentral's name for it is "partial 16S ribosomal RNA". It matches the Rfam family "Bacterial small subunit ribosomal RNA", at positions 338 to 795 of the family's 1533-position model. The record is from RNAcentral.
CCUACGGGAGGCAGCAGUGGGGAAUUUUGCGCAAUGGGGGAAACCCUGACGCAGCAACGCCGCGUGCGGGACGAAGGCCCUCGGGUUGUAAACCGCUUUCAGCAGGGAAGAUCCAAGACGGUACCUGCAGAAGAAGCUCCGGCUAACUACGUGCCAGCAGCCGCGGUAAUACGUAGGGGGCGAGCGUUAUCCGGAUUCAUUGGGCGUAUAGCGCGCGUAGGCGGUCGCCAAAGCGGUACGUCGAACCCCGGGGCACAACUCCGGGCCGGGUCCCGGACUGGGCGGUUAGAGAGCAGUAGAGGUGGGCGGAAUUCCCGGUGUAGCGGUGAAAUGCGCAGAUAUCGGGAAGAACACCGAUGGCGAAGGCAGCUCUCUGGGCCGUCACUGACGCUGAGGCGCGAAAGCUGGGGGAGCGAACAGGAUUAGAUACCCUAGUAGUC